UGGUAUCUUCUUCUUGGUCUCCUUUAAGC
This 29-nucleotide non-coding RNA is filed under the name Homo sapiens (human). Lineage: Eukaryota; Metazoa; Chordata; Mammalia; Primates; Hominidae. The record is from RNAcentral.